This 71-nucleotide transfer RNA is filed under the name Algoriphagus sp. oki45. Its description in RNAcentral is "tRNA-Ala". It matches the Rfam family "tRNA". Rfam says of the family: Transfer RNA (tRNA) molecules are approximately 80 nucleotides in length. Their secondary structure includes four short double-helical elements and three loops (D, anti-codon, and T loops). The record is from RNAcentral. Lineage: Bacteria; Pseudomonadati; Bacteroidota; Cytophagia; Cytophagales; Cyclobacteriaceae.
GAUUGGAUCAGUUGGCUAGUGCGUCCCGCUUGCUAGCGGGAAGGUCAUCGGUUCGAAUCCGUUAUCCUCCA